This 20-nucleotide ribosomal RNA is filed under the name Heuchera sanguinea (coralbells). Its description in RNAcentral is "partial 18S ribosomal RNA". Lineage: Eukaryota; Viridiplantae; Streptophyta; Magnoliopsida; Saxifragales; Saxifragaceae. RNAcentral also lists the same sequence under 13 other names. The record is from RNAcentral.
GACCUGCGGAAGGAUCAUUG